CGUGGACAACCUGCCUCAAGGCUGGGCAUAACAUUUGGAAACAGAUGCUAAUACCGAAUGAAACUUAGUGUCGCAUGACACGAAGUUAAAAGGCGCUUUGGCGUCACCUAGAGAUGGAUCCGCGGUGCAUUAGUUAGUUGGUGGGGUAAAGGCCUACCAAGACAAUGAUGCAUAGCCGAGUUGAGAGACUGAUCGGCCACAUUGGGACUGAGACACGGCCCAAACUCCUACGGGAGGCUGCAGUAGGGAAUCUUCCACAAUGGGCGAAAGCCUGAUGGAGCAACGCCGCGUGUGUGAUGAAGGCUUUCGGGUCGUAAAGCACUGUUGCAUGGGAAGAACAGCUAGAAUAGGGAAUGAUUUUAGUUUGACGGUACCAUACCAGAAAGGGACGGCUAAAUACGUGCCAGCAGCCGCGGUAAUACGUAUGUCCCGAGCGUUAUCCGGAUUUAUUGGGCGUAAAGCGAGCGCAGACGGUUGAUUAAGUCUGAUGUGAAAGCCCGGAGCUCAACUCCGGAAUGGCAUUGGAAACUGGUUAACUUGAGUGCAGUAGAGGUAAGUGGAACUCCAUGUGUAGCGGUGGAAUGCGUAGAUAUAUGGAAGAACACCAGUGGCGAAGGCGGCUUACUGGACUGUAACUGACGUUGAGGCUCGAAAGUGUGGGUAGCAAACAGGAUUAGAUACCCUGGUAGUCCACACCGUAGACGAUGAACACUAGGUGUUAGGAGGUUUCCGCCUCUUAGUGC
This 743-nucleotide ribosomal RNA is filed under the name uncultured bacterium. RNAcentral's name for it is "bacterial SSU rRNA". It matches the Rfam family "Bacterial small subunit ribosomal RNA", at positions 116 to 846 of the family's 1533-position model. The record is from RNAcentral.